CGCUCAGAUUGAACGCUGGCGGCAGGCCUAACACAUGCAAGUCGAGCGGCAGCACGGGUACUUGUACCUGGUGGCGAGCGGCGGACGGGUGAGUAAUGCCUAGGAAUCUGCCUGGUAGUGGGGGAUAACGUCCGGAAACGGGCGCUAAUACCGCAUACGUCCUACGGGAGAAAGUGGGGGAUCUUCGGACCUCACGCUAUCAGAUGAGCCUAGGUCGGAUUAGCUAGUUGGUGAGGUAAUGGCUCACCAAGGCGACGAUCCGUAACUGGUCUGAGAGGAUGAUCAGUCACACUGGAACUGAGACACGGUCCAGACUCCUACGGGAGGCAGCAGUGGGGAAUAUUGGACAAUGGGCGAAAGCCUGAUCCAGCCAUGCCGCGUGUGUGAAGAAGGUCUUCGGAUUGUAAAGCACUUUAAGUUGGGAGGAAGGGUACUUACCUAAUACGUGAGUAUUUUGACGUUACCGACAGAAUAAGCACCGGCUAACUCUGUGCCAGCAGCCGCGGUAAUACAGAGGGUGCAAGCGUUAAUCGGAAUUACUGGGCGUAAAGCGCGCGUAGGUGGUUUGUUAAGUUGGAUGUGAAAGCCCCGGGCUCAACCUGGGAACUGCAUCCAAAACUGGCAAGCUAGAGUAUGGUAGAGGGUGGUGGAAUUUCCUGUGUAGCGGUGAAAUGCGUAGAUAUAGGAAGGAACACCAGUGGCGAAGGCGACCACCUGGACUGAUACUGACACUGAGGUGCGAAAGCGUGGGGAGCAAACAGGAUUAGAUACCCUGGUAGUCCACGCCGUAAACGAUGUCAACUAGCCGUUGGGAGCCUUGAGCUCUUAGUGGCGCAGCUAACGCAUUAAGUGACCGC
This 857-nucleotide ribosomal RNA is filed under the name Pseudomonas sp. AKB-2008-HE24. RNAcentral describes it as "bacterial SSU rRNA". It matches the Rfam family "Bacterial small subunit ribosomal RNA", at positions 21 to 872 of the family's 1533-position model. Lineage: Bacteria; Pseudomonadati; Pseudomonadota; Gammaproteobacteria; Pseudomonadales; Pseudomonadaceae. The record is from RNAcentral.